AGAUAUUUUGAGUGUUUGGAAUUGA
Molecule: microRNA, 25 nt
Filed under: Homo sapiens (human)
Lineage: Eukaryota; Metazoa; Chordata; Mammalia; Primates; Hominidae
Description: Hsa-Mir-3145_3p (mature (guide))
Source: RNAcentral